Molecule: small RNA, 339 nt
Filed under: pig gut metagenome
Description: transfer-messenger RNA
Rfam family: transfer-messenger RNA
About the family: Bacterial tmRNA, also known as 10Sa RNA or SsrA, is named for its dual tRNA and mRNA-like properties. Its role is to liberate the mRNA from a stalled ribosome.
Source: RNAcentral
GGGCUUGUACUGGUUUCGACGGGGGUUUUGAAGAUGGAGAAGCUAUCCGCAGGCGAUGCGUCAAAUCGCGAAUCUAAAUAUAAACGCAGACGAAGAGUACGCGUUAGCAGCCUAGUUGCUGCUCGUCAGCCCUGAUGCACUCACACAUCAGGAUCCUGGCGUCGACCAUGUGAGAAACGAUGCAGGCAAAGCUUUGAGCCUGUAGGCGUAUUAUGAAGCUACCAAAACCGGAAGGUUGUUCGUUAUCGUCCGGCAGAGGGAAUGUUAAAGAACGGACUAUGAUAGUAGAAGUACAUGGGAUAGACUUUCGGACAGGGGUUCGAUUCCCCUCAGGUCCAC